RNAcentral lists this ribosomal RNA (468 nucleotides) under uncultured bacterium. Its description in RNAcentral is "partial 16S ribosomal RNA". It matches the Rfam family "Bacterial small subunit ribosomal RNA", at positions 28 to 507 of the family's 1533-position model. The record is from RNAcentral.
GACGAACGCUGGCGGCGUGCUUAACACAUGCAAGUCGAACGGAAAGGCCCUGCUUUUGUGGGGUGCUCGAGUGGCGAACGGGUGAGUAACACGUGAGUAACCUGCCCUUGACUUUGGGAUAACUUCAGGAAACUGGGGCUAAUACCGGAUAGGAGCUCCUGCUGCAUGGUGGGGGCUGGAAAGUUUCGGCGGUUGGGGAUGGACUCGCGGCUUAUCAGCUUGUUGGUGGGGUAGUGGCUUACCAAGGCUUUGACGGGUAGCCGGCCUGAGAGGGUGACCGGCCACAUUGGGACUGAGAUACGGCCCAGACUCCUACGGGAGGCAGCAGUGGGGAAUAUUGCACAAUGGGCGGAAGCCUGAUGCAGCAACGUCGCGUGCGGGAUGACGGCCUUCGGGUUGUAAACCGCUUUCGCCUGUGACGAAGCGUGAGUGACGGUAAUGGGUAAAGAAGCACCGGCUAACUACGUG